This is a long non-coding RNA of Limulus polyphemus (Atlantic horseshoe crab), 4374 nucleotides long. RefSeq lists it as uncharacterized. NCBI's taxonomy places the organism in Eukaryota, Metazoa, Arthropoda, Merostomata, Xiphosura, Limulidae. The record is from RefSeq and is a predicted model, not a curated record. The transcript has 2 exons.
CCCUAGCUCAUUCCAUUUUUUGUUCUCUUCUUCCCUAGCUCAUUUAAUUUUUGUUCUCUUCUUCCCUACUCAUUCAAUUUUUUGUUCUCUUCUUCCCUAUCUCAUUCAAUGUUUUGUUCUCUUCUUCCCUAUCUCAUUCAAGUUUUUGUUCUCUUCUUCCCUAGCUCAUUCUAUUUUUUGUUCUCUUCUUCCCUAUCUCAUUCAAUGUUUUGUUCUCUUCUUCCCUAGCUCAUUCAAUUUUUUGUUCGACCUCAACCUCUUCAUGUAACACAUCUCGUCACAUUUUUGUUCUGGUUUGACUCAUUUCUUGUUUAGCCUCAAUCCCCUUUGUGCUACGUACCCCUUGUUCAUCCUUCUUCCAGUAUAAUUCAUUCCUUGUUCCACUUUAGUCUCAAGUAACUCACCUCUUUUUCAUCUCUGUUCUGGUUUGACUCAUUUCUUGUUUAGCCUCAAUCCCCUUUGUGCUACGUACCCCUUGUUCAUCCUCCUUCCAGUAUAAUUCAUUCCUUGUUCCACUUUAGUCCCAAGUAACUCACCUCUUUUUCAUCUCUGUUCUGGUUUGACUCCUGCUUUGUUUCACACCUUAUGCUAAGUAUCUGAAUCACUUGUUAAUUUUUUCUCCAACGCAUCUCCUUCCUUGUUCCAUAUCAGCUUCAAAUAACUUAUAUUUUUAUUAUAUUUCUGUUAUGGCUGGCUCAUUUCUUGUUCCAUCUCAACCUCUUCAUGUUACACAUAUCUUGUUAAUUUUUGUCAUCCACUUAAUACAAUUGCUAUUCCACAAAGGAUUUAACAGGUAAAACCUAGAAAGUGAAAUUAGCUCUUUCCCAAGCUUAGAUGUUGAAAAAACCUUGUUUUAUGGAUCAAAAGUCAAGGCAUAUUGUGCUCCAUUUUUUCCAUAAUCUGUAGGGCAGACUUCGUAGAACACAAGCUGAGCUUAUGCCCUGGAAAAGCACGUAAUGUAUGUUUAGGCUUAUUUGCAGCACAAUCAAAAGCUACUUAACAAACUUAAUGGGUUUCAAAUGAACGUGACUUGAACAUUUGUGACUUAUAGUAAAUAAACAAACGCAAAUUACACAUCAGUUCUGUAAAACGUAUGCAUCACACAAGGCCUAAUCUGCAAACGAAGAAUAUGUAUAUAUAAUGUAACUGAAUUCUGUAAUUCUCCAAGUAAGUUAUACUUACAUACGAGUGUGUAUGAAGGAGUAUUAGCUAAAAUAAUCCUUAACUUUUCUCAUUCAAUCUUCGGGUAUUGUUUUCGUUAGACGUAGUAAAACUAUGGAAGACUCAAGUAGAUAAUAUGAAAUAAUAAAAUGUAAAUUAAUGUGUUGAAAUAAUGGAUUACAAGUUUCCGUGGGAAACAUGUAGUGCCCCGUUUUCUGGAAUUUUAUAGAUUUAGAAGAUUGUCUUUAUAUAUAUUAUCAAUCCAACGUUAGGAGAAGUAUGUGAUUUAUAGAAUAAGGCCAUUUUCUUCUAUUGAUUAACAUCUGGGUAAAAUGACUAUCGUUUCUUAUCCUCUGUAGCAUGUAAUUAGAUGCUUAAUACUUCCAACAUAAUCUUGAUGGACAGAGUACUUAGUCUUCAGACUAUUUUAUCUCUCUUUAACAUUUUAUGUAGUAUUUUCAGCAGCUUAAGGCUUAAUUAUAAAUUAUUAGAAGCUUGAAUGUAUUCCAACUUAUCUUACAGCUACGUUGACGUAUUAUUACAUCUACGUAAACGUUCAUUCAAAUAUUAUGGUUUGGUUCUCAGAAAAUCAAACAACCAUAGCUGUUUACUGGCUAAUUUUCACUCGCCAAUGUUCAUGGUUCACUGUGCUGACCUCUAGCUGUACUAUUUGGGUUCUUAUGAAUCUCUGUUCUGUUCUUUCGCUGUACCACCUGAAAUCUUAUGAAUCAGUGUUCUGUUCUUUCGCUGAUCCAUCUGUAAUCUUACUAAUAACUGUUCUGUCCUUUCACUGAAUUAUCUCGGUUCUUAUGAACCACUGUACUAUCAAGAUUCUUAUGGUUCACUGUAGUGACCUCUUGCUGUACUAUCUGGGUUAUUAUGAAUCACUGCACUGAUGUCUCGCUGUACCAUCUGGCAUCGUAUGAAUCAGUGUUCUGUUCUUUUGCUGCACCAUAUGGGAUCUUAUGAACCACUUUUGUGUCCUUUCGCUGAACCAUCUCCGUUCUUAUGAACCAUUGUACUGAUCUCAUGCUAUACCAUCUGGAUUCUUAUGAAUCACUGUAUAGGUUUUCAAAAGUAGCACAAUAUUAUGAUACAACCAGAUCGACUGUUAAAUUAACAACUUGGAUAUUACAUAUUACUAAGUUGGUUUUCUGCAGAAGCAAGAUAUUUGGCUAUUAAUAGCUUGGAUAGUAUAAAUUACUUGAAUCUGUUAAUUGAUAUACAAAUUUUGCGAUCAGCAGUAACGUAGAAUAUAAACCAUUAAGUUAAAUACAAUUAAGAAUUAAAAUAAUAGUAUAACCUUUGGAAUAUGAUAGUAAGAUACAUUUUUCUUUACAAGUAACCGUUAUUCCACUCGUUCUCCUCUUUUCAGUUGUGAUUAUUGUUAAGGUGAUGAUAUUUUAAGUACUCAUUCUGAUAAUAUCCUCAGCCUAUGAUAUAUAUAUAUAUAUAAGCCAUUAUUGGCGAGUUCAUACCAUUGUUGGUAAGGUGAUACUAUUUUUACUAGAUUUACGCUCUUUGGUAGGCUGAUGCUAUUAGUAGUAAGGCUGAUGUUACUUGUAGAACCAUACUAUUCUUGACUGAACCAUACAAUAUUGCCAAGUUAACUAUUACGUUAUCAUUAGUAAGAUUAUGCUGUUAUAUUUAUCACACUCGUUUAAUUGGUAGAAUUAACCAGUUAUUGAUAAGAUGAUGUUAUUUUCGGCAAAAUGAUGCUACUGUUACCACAUUUAUGAUACUGGGCAGGAUCUUAUUAGUAAAUAUUUCUACUGUUAUUACUAUGGUGAUGUUAUUUGGCAAGACGUUACUGUUAUAAGAAAGAUAAUACUACUGUUAUCAGAGCAAUUUUAGUUGGCAAGGUGAUGUUGUUGCCGCUAACACUGUUAUUGUUAUCACGAUGACGUGAUUUGGUAGGAUGGUGUUAUUAGUAAGAUGACGUUACUGUUACUAAGGUAAUUUAUUUAGCAUGACGGUGCUGUUGUUGUUAAAAUGAUAUUUCUGUUACCACGAUGAUGUUAUUUGACAAAAUGGUGUUAUUAGUAAUAUGAUGUUACUGUUACCAUCAUGAUGUUAUUUUGUUAGUAAGAUAUGAUGCCGUAGCAAAGUGGCAACUCGUAUAACUUUAAUAAUCAAUAAUACAACUUCAUUUUAUUUUGUUAUAAUUCACACUAGGUUUCUAGAUCUAACUGUGAAUUACUAAAACGUUCCCAUUUGUUAAGCAAUGUUCAAGUACAUUAGCUCAUGAGAAGGAAUAUAAUUGAAGUAAUGACGUUGUCUAGUCCCAUUUGUUAAGCAGUGUUCAAGUACAUUAGCUCAUGAGAAGGAUUACAACUAAAGUAAUGACGUUCCCAUUUGUUGAGCAAUGUUCAAGUACAUUAGCUCAUGAGAAGGAUUACAACUGAAGUAACGAUGUUCCCAUUUGUUAAGCAAUGUUAAAGUACAUUAAUUAGCUCAUGAGAAGGAUUACAACUGAAAUAAUGACGUUGUCUAUUCCCAUUUGUUAAGCAAUGUUCAAGUACAUUAGCUCAUGAGAAGGAAUAUAAUUGAAGUAAUGACGUUGCCAUGUUGCUUAAUGUGCACACAGGAGAUCUAGUAAUACCUUAGGAAGAAAACGUAAUCACCAAGAUAAUUUUACUGAAAUAAACAAAUUCUACAACGAACGUUCUCAGUGUAAGCAAGGCUAUGUUAUCCACAGAGACGCUUUUUAGAUUCUCAGUAAUAUAUGUGAGAGAUAUAGUUCGAUUUGUUUUUUUCUCUUUAGGUGUCAUAAAACAAUGUUAUUAUUGAAAAUUAUUCAUUUUCGUCAAAUAAAAUAAUUCAUUAAAGGAUAAUAUUUUAAGAAAUGAAGUUAGGUAAGCAAUAUGUUAUGUUUUAGAAAUGGAGUCACCUGAAUAAGAUGGGGCAGCGUCAAAAGUAAAGUCACGUGAACAAAACACAAUAAUGUUGCAAGCAAAUUCACGCGAAUGAAAUACAGUAAUGCGGAAAGUAAAGUCACGUGAAUACGGUGAUGUAUUGUAGAAAGUAAAAUGGCGUCAACACUUUCGUAUUGAAAAAAAAGUACAGUCACAAAAAGAAUAAUAUUAAUAAUUUUUUGUAAGUAAAUCUAUUUAAAGAUAAUGUAAUAUUUUCGAUAUAAGUGUCGCGUGAACAAAAUGUUGUUAUACCGAAAGUAAAAUAAGAAAUAUUAAAAUGGAACAUUAAAUAAUUGAA